AAUGUUUAAAAUUUAUAAUGAAAGAGUUAUUGAUAGUAAAGGGUAAAAUUGAGUUGCUGUUAUGUAUUGGUUGAUUAAGAUAAAUUUUAAUUGAAGCUAAGAAAAUUUAGUUAUAAACUAGGAUUAGAUACCCUAUUAUUCUAAAAAGGAACCUGUAAGACUGAAUUAGUAAGAGAUAUAUACUUUAAAAUUAAAAAAUUUGGCGGUGAUUUAAUCUUUUCAGAGGAAUUUGUUUCUUAAUCGAUAAACCACGAAGAAUCUUACUUACUUUUGUUUUCAGUUUGUAUACCAUCAUUAUCAGGUAAUUCUUAGAGGGUAAAAUUACUAAAUAUAAAUGGUUAUGAAAAUUAGAUCAUGGUGCAGCUAAUAGGUAAGUUGAAAUGAAUUACAAUAAAUUGUUUUAUAAUGGAUUGGUAAUAGAAAAUUAUUAUGAAGGAGGAUUUGAUUGUAUUGUAAGUUUAAUAAGCUUACAGGAUAUAAGCUCUAAAUCAUGUACAUAUCGCCCGUCGCUUUCAUUUAUAAAU
RNAcentral lists this ribosomal RNA (524 nucleotides) under Cardisoma carnifex (blue land crab). RNAcentral's name for it is "partial 12S ribosomal RNA". Lineage: Eukaryota; Metazoa; Arthropoda; Malacostraca; Decapoda; Gecarcinidae. The record is from RNAcentral.